RNAcentral lists this ribosomal RNA (284 nucleotides) under Phocaeicola plebeius DSM 17135. RNAcentral describes it as "partial 16S ribosomal RNA". It matches the Rfam family "Bacterial small subunit ribosomal RNA", at positions 493 to 776 of the family's 1533-position model. The record is from RNAcentral. Lineage: Bacteria; Pseudomonadati; Bacteroidota; Bacteroidia; Bacteroidales; Bacteroidaceae.
UCUUUUCCUUUUGUGCCCGCAGCCGCGGUAAUACGGAGGAUGCGAGCGUUAUCCGGAUUUAUUGGGUUUAAAGGGAGCGCAGACGGGUCGUUAAGUCAGCUGUGAAAGUUUGGGGCUCAACCUUAAAAUUGCAGUUGAUACUGGCGUCCUUGAGUGCGGUUGAGGUGUGCGGAAUUCGUGGUGUAGCGGUGAAAUGCUUAGAUAUCACGAAGAACUCCGAUUGCGAAGGCAGCACACUAAUCCGUAACUGACGUUCAUGCUCGAAAGUGUGGGUAUCAAACAGG